UGCCUCAGUAACGGCGAGUGAAGCGGCAACAGCUCAAAUUUGAAAUCUGGCUCUUUCAGGGUCCGAGUUGUAAUUUGUAGAAGAUGCUUCGGGUGUGGUUCCGGUCUAAGUUCCUUGGAACAGGACGUCAUAGAGGGUGAGAAUCCCGUAUGUGACCGGCUACCUUCGCUCAUGUGAAGCUCUUUCGACGAGUCGAGUUGUUUGGGAAUGCAGCUCAAAAUGGGUGGUAAAUUUCAUCUAAAGCUAAAUAUUGGCCAGAGACCGAUAGCGCACAAGUAGAGUGAUCGAAAGAUGAAAAGCACUUUGGAAAGAGAGUUAAAUAGUACGUGAAAUUGUUGAAAGGGAAGCGCUUGCAAUCAGACUUGCACGCAGUUGAUCAUCCGGUGUUCUCACCGGUGCACUCUGCUGCGUUCAGGCCAGCAUCGGUUCUGGUGGUUGGAUAAAGGCCUUGGGAAUGUGGCUCCUCUCGGGGAGUGUUAUAGCCCUCGGUGCAAUGCAGCCUACCGGGACCGAGGACCGCGCUUCGGCUAGGAUGCUGGCGUAAUGGUUGUAAGCGACCCGUCUUGAAACACGGACCAAGGAGUCUAACAUCUAUGCGAGUGUUUGGGUGUCAAACCCAUACGCGUAAUGAAAGUGAACGGAGGUGAGAACCCUUAAGGGUGCAUCAUCGACCGAUCCUGAUGUCUUCGGAUGGAUUUGAGUAAGAGCAUAGCUGUUGGGACCCGAAAGAUGGUGAACUAUGCGUGAAUAGGGUGAAGCCAGAGGAAACUCUGGUGGAGGCUCGCAGCGGUUCUGACGUGCAAAUCGAUCGUCAAAUUGCGCAUUAGGGGCGAAAGACUAAUCGAACCAUCUAGU
Molecule: ribosomal RNA, 855 nt
Filed under: Rhytismatales sp.
Lineage: Eukaryota; Fungi; Ascomycota; Leotiomycetes; Rhytismatales
Description: partial large subunit ribosomal RNA
Rfam family: Eukaryotic large subunit ribosomal RNA
Source: RNAcentral